RNAcentral lists this long non-coding RNA (202 nucleotides) under Brassica rapa (field mustard). Its description in RNAcentral is "long non-coding RNA (BRAP_LNC005902)". The record is from RNAcentral. Lineage: Eukaryota; Viridiplantae; Streptophyta; Magnoliopsida; Brassicales; Brassicaceae.
CCUGUUCGAAAAGGCGCCGCCGAGGGCCGCUUAGUCGCCGGAAAGUCACUCGUCGGGCUCCGGCCGCCACGAUUUGGUACUAAUCGGACAAAAACUCGGGAUCUUAGAAAAUUCAAAAUUUUGUUCAUAGAAACUUUGAAAUGGAAGGUUCUCUUGUAGAUUUAUCAAUAGUAAUCUUAAAUACAAAGGAAAAUGGAAGAAA